RNAcentral lists this ribosomal RNA (941 nucleotides) under Misolampus gibbulus. Its description in RNAcentral is "SSU rRNA". It matches the Rfam family "Eukaryotic small subunit ribosomal RNA", at positions 417 to 1319 of the family's 1831-position model. RNAcentral also lists the same sequence under 5 other names. The record is from RNAcentral. Lineage: Eukaryota; Metazoa; Arthropoda; Insecta; Coleoptera; Tenebrionidae.
CAAGGAAGGCAGCAGGCGCGCAAAUUACCCACUCCCGGCACGGGGAGGUAGUGACGAAAAAUAACGAUACGGGACUCAUCCGAGGCCCCGUAAUCGGAAUGAGUACACUCUAAACCCUUUAACGAGGAUCAAUUGGAGGGCAAGUCUGGUGCCAGCAGCCGCGGUAAUUCCAGCUCCAAUAGCGUAUAUUAAAGUUGUUGCGGUUAAAAAGCUCGUAGUCGAAUCUGUGUCCCGCGCCGCCGGUUCAUCGUUCGCGGUGUUAACUGGCGUGCCGCGGGACGUCCUGCCGGUGGGCUUAGCUCGAGAGGGCGGCCCAACUCAAUCCCGCCGCGGUGCUCUUCAUUGAGUGUCGAGGUGGGCCGGCACGUUUACUUUGAACAAAUUAGAGUGCUUAAAGCAGGCUAAAACUUCGCCUGAAUACUGUGUGCAUGGAAUAAUGGAAUAGGACCUCGGUUCUAUUUUGUUGGUUUUCGGAACCCCGAGGUAAUGAUUAAUAGGAACGGAUGGGGGCAUUCGUAUUGCGACGUUAGAGGUGAAAUUCUUGGAUCGUCGCAAGACGGACAGAAGCGAAAGCAUUUGCCAAAAACGCUUUCAUUGAUCAAGAACGAAAGUUAGAGGUUCGAAGGCGAUCAGAUACCGCCCUAGUUCUAACCAUAAACGAUGCCAGCUAGCGAUCCGCCGACGUUCCUCCGAUGACUCGGCGGGCAGCUUCCGGGAAACCAAAGCUUUUGGGUUCCGGGGGAAGUAUGGUUGCAAAGCUGAAACUUAAAGGAAUUGACGGAAGGGCACCACCAGGAGUGGAGCCUGCGGCUUAAUUUGACUCAACACGGGAAACCUCACCAGGCCCGGACACCGGAAGGAUUGACAGAUUGAGAGCUCUUUCUUGAUUCGGUGGGUGGUGGUGCAUGGCCGUUCUUAGUUGGUGGAGCGAUUUGUCUGGU